RNAcentral lists this ribosomal RNA (392 nucleotides) under uncultured Sphingobacteriales bacterium. RNAcentral describes it as "bacterial SSU rRNA". It matches the Rfam family "Bacterial small subunit ribosomal RNA", at positions 986 to 1382 of the family's 1533-position model. Lineage: Bacteria; Pseudomonadati; Bacteroidota; Sphingobacteriia; Sphingobacteriales. The record is from RNAcentral.
UGGGAGUGACAGCUGGCGAAAGUUGGUUUUCUUCGGACACUCUUCAAGGUGCUGCAUGGUUGUCGUCAGCUCGUGCCGUGAGGUGUCGGGUUAAGUCCCAUAACGAGCCGCAACCCUUUACUGUUAGUUGCCAGCGGGUCAAGCCGGGAACUCUAACGGGACUGCCACGUAAGGUGAGAGGAAGGUGGGAUGACGUCAAAUCAGCAGGCCCUUAUGUCCAGGGCUACACACGUGUUACAAUGGUCGGUACAAAGGGCAGCUACACCGCGAGGUGAUGCUAAUCUCUAAAGCCGGUCUCAGUUCGGAUCGAAGUCUGCAACCCGACUUCGUGAAGUUGGAUUCGCUAGUAAUCGCGCAUCAGCCAUGGCGCGGUGAAUACGUUCUCGGGUCUU